Molecule: antisense RNA, 156 nt
Filed under: freshwater sediment metagenome
Description: Bacterial antisense RNA HPnc0260
Rfam family: Bacterial antisense RNA HPnc0260
Source: Rfam by way of RNAcentral
CGUAUAAAAUGUUUACAGGCGCUGUUACGCUAGAGACUAAUGAGUUUCCGAGAUUUAAAUUUUUAGGAAAUAUAUUUGAAAAAUCACCAAAAAUUGUAUGAUUCAACUUAUUGGAGAAUGGUGGGCCCGGCAGGACUUGAACCUGCGACCACUCCG